Molecule: long non-coding RNA, 818 nt
Filed under: Homo sapiens (human)
Lineage: Eukaryota; Metazoa; Chordata; Mammalia; Primates; Hominidae
Description: non-protein coding lnc-COG5-6:1
Source: RNAcentral
GAAACACUUUACUUCUUUACUGGUCCAAAUGAUACAUUCAGGAUCAGUAGGACAAUUUCUUUUCCUCAAGGUCAAAUGAAUUUUCUCUUCUUACAAUUAAAAAAUGUCUUAAAACAAUUAUGCAUUUGAGCUGGCUACAUAUUUAGAUUUCUUUUUCUUGUCGAGUUUUAUUUUAAAAUUUCUAAAUGUACUCCUCUCUGUUUUCUUCUUAAAGCCCUGGCUUCAACAAAUCCUUUCCAUCAUAUCAUCUGUUAAGAUUAUUUCAUCUUUUCCAUCAGUAUCACCUUUUUAGGCCAGGCGGGGUGGCUCACGCCUGUAAUCUCAACCCUUUGGGAGGCCAUGGCAGGCAGAUCACUUGAGGCCAGGAAUUUGAGACCAGCCCGGCCAACAUGGUGAAACCCUGUUUCUACUAAAAGUACAAAAAAUUAGCCAGGCGUGGUGGUGUACACCUGUAAUCCCAGCUCCUCAGGAGGCUGAGGCAUGAGAACUGCUUGAACUCAGGAGGCAGACUGCAGUGAGCCAAGAUUGUGCCACUGCAUUCCAGCCUGGGCGACACAGCAAGACUUUCUCUAAAACAAAAAACAAAAAACAAAAACAAAAAAACACUAGAUAAAAUUUGGAUUGCAGAGGGAAGAAAAAGGCAGAGAGACAGAGACAGGACUAGCUGGAUUUCCUAGGCCGACUAAGAAUUCCUAAGCCUAGCUGGGGAAGGUGACCACACCCACCUUUAAACAAGCGGCUUGUAACUCAGCUCACACCUGACCAAUCAGGUAGUAAAGAGGGCUCACUAAAUUACAAAUUAGGCUAAAAGCAGGAGG